Molecule: ribosomal RNA, 461 nt
Filed under: uncultured bacterium
Lineage: Bacteria
Description: bacterial SSU rRNA
Rfam family: Bacterial small subunit ribosomal RNA
Source: RNAcentral
ACGCUGGCGGCGUGCCUAACACAUGCAAGUCGAACGGACGAUGAGGAGCUUGCUCCUCAAAGUUAGUGGCGGACGGGUGAGUAACGCGUGAGCAACCUGCCUUGCAAAGCGGGAUAACAUCGGGAAACUGGUGCUAAUACUGCAUAACGUAUUUGAGUCGCAUGGCUUAAAUACCAAAGGAGCAAUCCGAUGCAAGAUGGGCUCGCGUCUGAUUAGAUAGUUGGUGGGGUAACGGCCUACCAAGUCGACGAUCAGUAGCCGGACUGAGAGGUUGAACGGCCACACUGGAACUGAGACACGGCCCAAACUCCUACGGGAGGCAGCAGUGGGGAAUAUUGGACAAUGGGGGAAACCCUGAUCCAGCGACGCCGCGUGAGUGAAGAAGUAUUUCGGUAUGUAAAGCUCUAUCAGCAGGGAAGAUAAUGACGGUACCUGACUAAGAAGCCCCGGCUAACUACGUG